GAGUUUGAUCCUGGCUCAGGAUGAGCGCUGGCGGCAUGCUUAACACAUGCAAGUCGAACGGGAAGUGGUGUUUCCAGUGGCGAACGGGUGAGUAACGCGUAAGAACCUGCCCUUGGGAGGGGAACAACAACUGGAAACGGUUGCUAAUACCCCGUAGGCUGAGGAGCAAAAGGAGAAAUCCGCCCAAGGAGGGGCUCGCGUCUGAUUAGCUAGUUGGUGAGGCAAUAGCUUACCAAGGCGAUGAUCAGUAGCUGGUCCGAGAGGAUGAUCAGCCACACUGGGACUGAGAACGGUCCAUACUCCUACGGGAGGCAGCAGUAGGGAAUUUUCGGCAAUGGGGGGAACCCUGACCGAGCAACGCCGCGUGAACGAAGAAGUUAUUCGUAAUGUAAAGUUCUUUUAUCAGGGAAGAAAGAGGAAUUUGACGGUACCUGAGGAAUAAGCUCCGGCUAACUACGUG
RNAcentral lists this ribosomal RNA (460 nucleotides) under uncultured bacterium. RNAcentral describes it as "bacterial SSU rRNA". It matches the Rfam family "Bacterial small subunit ribosomal RNA", at positions 9 to 507 of the family's 1533-position model. The record is from RNAcentral.